CCCUUAGAUGUUCUGGGCCGCACGCGCGCUACACUGACGAAGUCAGCGAGCAUGUCCUACGCCGACAGGUGCGGGGAAUCUUGUCAAACUUCGUCGUGAUGGGGAUUGAUUAUUGAAAUUCUUGAUCAUCAACGAGGAAUUCCUAGUAAGCGCAAGUCAGCAGCUUGCGUUGAUUACGUCCCUGCCCUUUGUACACACCGCCCGUCGCUACUACCGAUUGAACGGUUUAGUGAGGGCCUCGGAUUGGUCUCGGCCCGCUCUUUACCGGGCGGCGCCGUUGGUCGAGAAGACGCUCGAACUUGAUCGUUUAGAGGAAGUAAAAGUCGUAACA
This 331-nucleotide ribosomal RNA is filed under the name uncultured eukaryote. RNAcentral's name for it is "partial 18S ribosomal RNA". It matches the Rfam family "Eukaryotic small subunit ribosomal RNA", at positions 1470 to 1796 of the family's 1831-position model. The record is from RNAcentral.